UUUGUUUAUUAACCGUGAAUUAAAUUUGCUGUUGUUGUAUGUGGAUACUUGCAUACUUCAUGUGUUCAACAGCAACAAAAAACCAGCGAUGAUCUUGAAUCUUAUUAUUCUUAUUGUUGUUGCUGUGUUCUACUAUACAUUCAUGCAACCAAGUGGAAAAGUGAGUGUUUAAUUCAAUUAACAAGUGCAUUUUCAUUAUUAAAUAAGAAUAUUUAAUUUUUUAUAAAAAAAAGAAAUACAAGUAGACUUUAAUUCAGUUACUGCAGCAGUGUGUUUAUUAUUUAAUUAAAUUAAAAAGAAAUCAAAAGUAUUUUUGUUUGAAUUAACAAUUGUAUUUGGAAGCUGAACAUUUGGAUAAUUGGAUUAUAAUACAACAGAUUGUCAUAAAUUUGUUUAAAUAUCAAUUUAAAUAACAAGCAUCCCCAUCAAAAUCUCCAAGACUGUGAAGUAGUGUAUUUAUUUGAUCCUUAAAGUAUGCAACAAUAAAUGUGGUCAUCAUGACAACAGACGAAGUAAUAUUGAGGCGCGACAAAGCUGCUGAGAAUGGUGAAGAGUUUCGUGAACCACCUCCUCGAAUACGCGGUCAAAGUACAUAUCUGGCGGUAAGUUUUGCACAAACAUAAAUUAUAUAAACAAAUAAUUUAAAUUCACUUUUAU
This is a long non-coding RNA of Calliphora vicina (urban bluebottle blowfly), 657 nucleotides long. RefSeq lists it as uncharacterized. NCBI's taxonomy places the organism in Eukaryota, Metazoa, Arthropoda, Insecta, Diptera, Calliphoridae. The record is from RefSeq and is a predicted model, not a curated record. The transcript has 3 exons.